GACGAACGCUGGCGGCAUGCCUAAUACAUGCAAGUCGAGCGAACAGAUGAAGUGCUUGCACUUCUGACGUUAGCGGCGAACGGGUGAGUAACACGUAAGGAAUCUACCUAUAAGCGGGGGAUAACAUUCGGAAACGGGUGCUAGUACCGCAUAAUAUCUUCUUCCGCAUGGAAGAAGAUUGAAAGACGGCUCUGCUGUCACUUAUAGAUGACCUUGCGGUGCAUUAGUUAGUUGGUGGGGUAACGGCCUACCAAGACGAUGAUGCAUAGCCGACCUGAGAGGGUGAUCGGCCACAUUGGGACUGAGACACGGCCCAAACUCCUACGGGAGGCAGCAGUAGGGAAUCUUCCGCAAUGGGCGAAAGCCUGACGGAGCAAUGCCGCGUGAGUGAAGAAGGCCUUCGGGUCGUAAAACUCUGUUAUAAGAGAAGAACAAAUUGUAGAGUAACUGCUACAGUCUUGACGGUAUCCUAUCAGAAAGCCACGGCUAACUACGUGCCAGCAGCCGCCGUAA
RNAcentral lists this ribosomal RNA (513 nucleotides) under uncultured bacterium. Its description in RNAcentral is "partial 16S ribosomal RNA". It matches the Rfam family "Bacterial small subunit ribosomal RNA", at positions 28 to 523 of the family's 1533-position model. The record is from RNAcentral.